UACAGAGACUGCAAGCGUUAUUCGGAUUCACUGGGCGUAAAAGGGUGCGCAGGCGGUUGGGUGUGUCAGAUGUGAAAUCCCGAGGCUCAACCUCGGAACUGCGUCUGAAACUACUCGACUAGAGUACUGGAGAGGGUAACGGAAUUCACGGUGUAGCAGUGAAAAUGCGUAGAUAUCGUGAGGAACACCAGAGGCGAAGGCGGUUACCUGGACAGUUACUGACGCUCAGGCACGAAAGCAUGGGGGAGCAAAAGGG
This 256-nucleotide ribosomal RNA is filed under the name uncultured bacterium. Its description in RNAcentral is "partial 16S ribosomal RNA". It matches the Rfam family "Bacterial small subunit ribosomal RNA", at positions 524 to 776 of the family's 1533-position model. The record is from RNAcentral.